Molecule: long non-coding RNA, 1982 nt
Organism: Trichechus manatus latirostris (Florida manatee)
Lineage: Eukaryota; Metazoa; Chordata; Mammalia; Sirenia; Trichechidae
Exons: 3
Source: RefSeq, a predicted model, not a curated record
CGGUGAGCUCUGAAGUGAAAAGAGAAACGCAAGAAUGAAAAAUCCAAGGUCCUGGAGACAAUGUGAACUCCCUCCACUCUCAGGGUACACAGACUGGGCUAGCUGGAGAGAGCCUACCCUACAGCAGGCCCUAACAGGCAUGAGGAUGUGGCACUAUCUCCGUGUUAUAGGGGAGGGACUGGCUGGCACACAGGCCAGUCCAGCUGGUGGGAUCUGGCCAGCAGCCAGUCUGGAAGCCCUGCUGUGGAGGAAGAAGAAUCACACUCACCAAGUUCUGCUCACAGAGGCCCCGGAACUGCUGGAACUUUUGGGACAUCAGUAGCUGGGCACUGCCCACAGCACUGAGGACUUUUCCUAAAACUGAGAAAGAAAAGGAAGAGAAAGACUGACUUAGCAGAGCACAGGGUUUGUUGGGGUAGAAGUGGGGGGAUCAGGCCAUGGCUUUCAUCUUCUACUCCCUUAAAAUAAGAUCAGCCGCCAUCACCAAAUGAUGAUUUGUGUUCUAUUGUAUUCUAUUUGUACACUGAUCCAUUCUUACUGUGAAAUACACCAGUAACACAGAUAAAGUAAACCUCAUCCUCUAGUUCCUAAGGACAUUUUUAUGGCAAUAAGUUUGAAAACUGAAUUUAAAUGGAAAAAUUGAAGCAGAAGUUAAAAAGGAACCAAGCCCAGAUAGGUUUAUAGGUGGGAUUCUAUAUAAAACUUUAAAACAAACAAAAAACCCACUGCCAUCAAUUGUGACUCAUAGUGACCCUAUAAGACAGAGUAGAACUCCCCCGUAGGGUUUCCAAGGAGCAGCUGGUGGACUCGAACUGCCGACCUUUUGGAUAGCAGCCAAACCACUUAACCACUGUGCCACCAGGGCUAAAACCUUAAAGAAACCCUAUUUUAUAUAGUCAAACUGUUCCAGAGAUUAGAUAUACACAGAAAAUGACCACUCAUUUCAGGAGCCCUGAAGAGGUUAUAGGACACACCAAUAAUAGACCACUUUCUUCAUCAACAUAGAUGUAAAAGUCUUAUAUAAAAUGUAAGCAAAUAGAUCCAACUGAAGAGUUUUAAAAAUAAAGAUUUUAACCAUAAACCUCUUAACCACGAAGUGUUUAGCCCAGGAAUACGAGGUUGGUCUUUUAGUGUGACUUUCAGUUUUAAAGUGGCACAAAGACAAUACUAUGCACCCUACCUCCUUAGAAAUCACUGAAAAGCCAAAACAGUAAACAAGAAAUCAAAAUGCAAACUGUCUCUGAUAAAACCCUAAAAGGCAGUGUAUGAGGAAGUCCGCCAAGUGCGGGACAGCCACACAAGGACUCUUGGUUAUAGGUUUCAGAUGAAGGUGGUAGUUUUUAGUUCUCCAAAAUAAGUAGCACACCAGAGGGGAGAAGGCAAUGAGGGGAGAAGGCAAUAAUCUGAAGUCUAAAAGAACCCGUGUACCUAUCCCCAUCCCCUAGGAAUUCCUGCUAGCCUGGAUACACAGUCCUGGCCCCUCUCCCACAAUGAUCUAUUUUAAGAGCUCAUCCAGGAAUUAGUAGUUUAAAAGGAACCAACAUAAGCGCUAAACGAAGAUAUUACAGGAACAAAUGGCAGAUGAACAUUCACCAGAAAACUGUGACAUCUAGCCAUGACUGUGUAAAACAGAAGUUCAGAGCAGAGACAGAGGUGCUCAGAGAAGAGAUGGCAAGACAAUGGAAGGAGAUAAAACAUGAGCUCAGGAACCAGUGCAAGAGAAAAAUAAGGCCAUCGCAGAAACAAGGGCCACACUAGAAGCAGCACGAAGAAUAAACUCUGCUGUCACUAGUGGGACAUGGAGAGGAGGGCUGUAAAAGUUCCGGUACAAACACAAUCUGCGUGACUGACAACCAACACUAGACAUCUUUUUAAAUGAACAGCUAAGCUCCUAGGAAUAAAGGAGAAGUCUCUCCCGAGAAUUCUUAACCAUAAGCCUAUAGUCAGGUGCCUUUUUUUUUUUUUUUUAAAAAGGAAUAAAA